AGCCGAAGUUCACACCAGGAGUGACCCUCUGGGGAUUCCACCAACUUUCGACCUUCGACGACAUCUUUCCGAACCUCUCUGGCGGUCAGGCCUCCGCAGCACUCCCAAGUUUCACCAACGGAUAAACCCCCACCAGCGUCGACCAGAUUCUUCACGACAGACGGACUCCUACAGGAGCCGGACUUUGCGGAUUUCGAUUGCAUGAGGACUUCACCCAGACUCUUAUAGGAGCCAGACUUUGCCGACUUCGACUGCGUGAGGACCUCGUCCGGACUCCUACGGGAGCCGGACUCCACCCACGACUUCACC
Molecule: long non-coding RNA, 309 nt
Filed under: Elaeis guineensis (African oil palm)
Lineage: Eukaryota; Viridiplantae; Streptophyta; Magnoliopsida; Arecales; Arecaceae
Description: long non-coding RNA (EGUI_LNC071095)
Source: RNAcentral